This 70-nucleotide transfer RNA is filed under the name Physoderes impexa. Its description in RNAcentral is "tRNA-Ser". The record is from RNAcentral. Lineage: Eukaryota; Metazoa; Arthropoda; Insecta; Hemiptera; Reduviidae.
UAGAGAAUGUAGAUAACUAAGAGAAGCCGCUAACUAUCCCUUAAAGCGGUUAAAUUCCGUUUUUCUCUUA